UAAAGUCGUUUCCGAGGGCGACCACAACGACGGUUUCAUCAACGUUCACGAUAACAUUCGCGAGAGCACAACCGAUCUCCUGACACUGAUGUGGAAAUGGAUUGAUGGUUAUCCGGUUUGCAUAUCCACUCACUAAAUUAAUGCCAUAAUUGAUUGGUUAUGACCGUACUAGUUUCCAACGGAUGAACCCAUUGCGUAUACUCGUCUUGGUUCUUGCCGAUCCGGAGUUCAAGACGACGACCCAUCGCGAUGGAGUGGUGCCGCUCUCCAGCACACCAGCGCGAGCGAGCGAUGGCGGCCGGCUCCGACCCGAAGCACCCCCUGGCGCACGAUACCGCCGGUACCUCUAGCACGGCAUGGCGCCGAUGGUGCUAUCCGCGUGUCGGUCGUGUGUGAAAGGGAUGGAAGCUACUUGGGGUUUUCUACUCCUGGUCGUUCUUCUUGGCAUUUCCUGACACGCGUUAGUUAACGUGUAUUUUUUGAACUCAC
RNAcentral lists this long non-coding RNA (489 nucleotides) under Hordeum vulgare. Its description in RNAcentral is "long non-coding RNA (HVUL_LNC004071)". The record is from RNAcentral. Lineage: Eukaryota; Viridiplantae; Streptophyta; Magnoliopsida; Poales; Poaceae.